Molecule: transfer RNA, 17 nt
Filed under: Blepharostoma trichophyllum
Lineage: Eukaryota; Viridiplantae; Streptophyta; Jungermanniopsida; Jungermanniales; Blepharostomataceae
Also listed under: 20 other names
Description: partial tRNA-Phe
Source: RNAcentral
GCCGGAAUAGCUCAGUU